RNAcentral lists this ribosomal RNA (608 nucleotides) under Scheffersomyces tanahashii. RNAcentral describes it as "partial large subunit ribosomal RNA". It matches the Rfam family "Eukaryotic large subunit ribosomal RNA", at positions 44 to 669 of the family's 3401-position model. Lineage: Eukaryota; Fungi; Ascomycota; Pichiomycetes; Serinales; Debaryomycetaceae. The record is from RNAcentral.
UCCAAAACGGAGGAAAAGAAACCACCAGGGAUUGCCUUAGUAACGGCGAGUGAGCGGCAAAAGCUCAAAUUUGAAAUCUGGCACUAUUCGGUGUCCGAGUUGUAAUUUGAAGAAGGUAACUUUGGAGUUAGCUCUUGUCUAUGUUCCUUGGAACAGGACGUCACAGAGGGUGAGAAUCCCGUGCGAUGAGAUGUCUAACUCUAUGUAAAGUGCUUUCGAAGAGUCGAGUUGUUUGGGAAUGCAGCUCUAAGUGGGUGGUAAAUUCCAUCUAAAGCUAAAUAUUGGCGAGAGACCGAUAGCGAACAAGUACAGUGAUGGAAAGAUGAAAAGAACUUUGAAAAGAGAGUGAAAAAGUACGUGAAAUUGUUGAAAGGGAAGGGUUUGAGAUCAGACUUGGUAUUUUGUAUGUCUUGCUUUCGGGUGGGGCCUCUGCAGUUUACUGGGCCAGCAUCGGUUUGGAUGGUAGGAUAAUGACAUUGGAAUGUGGCACUACUUCGGUGGUGUGUUAUAGACUUUGUUGAUACUGCCUGUCUAGACCGAGGACUGCGUCUUUGACUAGGAUGCUGGCAUAAUGAUCCUAAACCGCCCGUCCUGAACCACCGGACCAA